UGGCAAUAACAAACUUUUAAAUGCGAUGGAACCUCAACAUACAGCGAUGGCUGGCCACAAACCUGUGUGCAGAACACAGAGCAAAGACAGUCCUCCUAAAAUGAGUGAUCUGAAGGUUGUUCUGCUAGGGAAGAGCGUGUCAGAAAACAGUGGUGUUGGAAACUUCCUGUUAGGACGAGCAGCGUUUGACAGUGAAGCUCCUCCAGGUGUUGUAGAGCGAG
Carassius carassius (crucian carp) is the source of this 221-nucleotide long non-coding RNA. RefSeq lists it as uncharacterized. The transcript has 3 exons. The record is from RefSeq and is a predicted model, not a curated record. NCBI's taxonomy places the organism in Eukaryota, Metazoa, Chordata, Actinopteri, Cypriniformes, Cyprinidae.